RNAcentral lists this ribosomal RNA (254 nucleotides) under uncultured bacterium. Its description in RNAcentral is "partial 16S ribosomal RNA". It matches the Rfam family "Bacterial small subunit ribosomal RNA", at positions 524 to 776 of the family's 1533-position model. The record is from RNAcentral.
UACGUAGGGGCCGAGCGUUGUCCGGAUUCAUUGGGCGUAAAGAGCGUGUAGGCGGCCGCUUAAGUCCUGCGUGAAAUCUCGGAGCUCAACUCCGAGCGGUCGUGGGAAACUGGGCGGCUAGAGUGCGGGAGAGGAGAGUGGAAUUUUAUGUGGAGCGGUAAAAUGCGUAGAUAUAUAAAAGAACAUCAAUUGGCGAAGGCAGUUAACUAUUCUGCUACUGACAUUGAGGCAUGAAAGCGUGGGGAGCAAAACGG